CCUACGGGAGGCAGCAGUAGGGAAUAUUGCUCAAUGGGGGAAACCCUGAAGCAGCAACGCCGCGUGGAGGAUGAAGGUUUUCGGAUAGUAAACUCCUUUUGUUAGAGAAGAUAAUGACGGUAUCUAACGAAUAAGCACCGGCUAACUCAGUGCCAGCAGCCGCGGUAAUAGGGAGGGUGAAAGCGUUACUCGUAAUCACUGGGCGUAAAGAGCGCGGAGGCGGGAUAGCAAGUCAGAUGUGAAAUCCUAUGGCUUAACCUUAGAACUGCAUUUGAAACUGUUAUUCUAGAGUAUGGGAGAGGUAGGUGGAAUUCUGGGUGUAGGGGUAAAAUCCGUAGAGAUCAAGAGGAAUACUCAUUGCGAAGGCGACCUGCUAGAACAUAACUGACGCUGAUGCGCGAAAGCGUGGGGAGCAAACAGGAUUAGAUACCCCAGUAGUC
RNAcentral lists this ribosomal RNA (440 nucleotides) under uncultured bacterium. RNAcentral's name for it is "partial 16S ribosomal RNA". It matches the Rfam family "Bacterial small subunit ribosomal RNA", at positions 338 to 795 of the family's 1533-position model. The record is from RNAcentral.